Molecule: ribosomal RNA, 620 nt
Filed under: uncultured bacterium
Lineage: Bacteria
Description: bacterial SSU rRNA
Rfam family: Bacterial small subunit ribosomal RNA
Source: RNAcentral
GGGUGAGUAACGCGUAGGCAACCUGCCCUUAGCAGAGGGAUAGCCAUUGGAAACGAUGAUUAAAACCUCAUAAUGCUGACGGAGCACAUGCUCUUUUGGCCAAAGAUUUAUCGGCUAAGGAUGGGCCUGCGUCUGAUUAACUGGUUGGUGAGGUAGCGGCUCACCAAGGUGACGAUCAGUAGCCGACCUGAGAGGGUGAUCGGCCACAUUGGAACUGAGACACGGUCCAAACUUCUACGGAAGGCAGCAGUAAGGAAUCUUGCACAAUGGGGGAAACCCUGAUGCAGCAACGCCGCGUGAACGAUGAAGGCCUUCGGGUUGUAAAGUUCUGAUCUUGGGGAAGAAGAAGUGACGGUACCCAAGGAGAAAGCCCCGGCUAACUACGUGCCAGCAGCCGCGGUAAUACGUAGGGGGCAAGCGUUAUCCGGAAUUAUUGGGCGUAAAGCGUGCGUAGGUGGUUACCUAAGCGCAAGGUUUAAUCUUGAGGCUCAACCUCAUUCUGCCUUGCGAACUGGGCUACUUGAGUGCAGGAGGGGAAAGCGGAAUUCCUAGUGUAGCGGUGAAAUGCGUAGAUAUUAGGAAGAACACCGGUGGCGAAGGCGGCUUUCUGGACUGUAACU